This 293-nucleotide ribosomal RNA is filed under the name uncultured fungus. RNAcentral describes it as "partial 18S ribosomal RNA". It matches the Rfam family "Eukaryotic small subunit ribosomal RNA", at positions 1388 to 1680 of the family's 1831-position model. The record is from RNAcentral. Lineage: Eukaryota; Fungi.
AACGUUUGUUGGUCGUCAACUUCUUAGAGGGACUAUUGACUAUUAGUCAAUGGAAGUUUGAGGCAAUAACAGGUCUGUGAUGCCCUUAGAUGUUCUGGGCCGCACGCGCGCUACACUGAUCAAGUCAACGAGUUUACAACCUUGGCCGGAAGGUCUGGGUAAUCUUUUGAAACUUGAUCGUGCUGGGGAUAGUCCAUUGCAAUUAUUGGACUUCAACGAGGAAUUCCUAGUAAGCGUGAGUCAUCAGCUCGCGUUGAUUACGUCCCUGCCCUUUGUACACACCGCCCGUCGCU